GUUUCUUUGCCUCCUGCAGUCUGUGCCUUCCACCAUGAUCAUGAGGCUUCCCCAGCCACACAGAACUAGAAGGAGUCUUGCCAUAUUACCCAGGCUGGUCUUGAACUUCCGGGCUCAAGUGAUGUGCUCGCCUUGGCCUCCCAAAGUGCUGGAAUUACAGGCAUGAGCCACUGCGCCCAGCCCCCAUGUCUUCCUUUUUUAGAAAAGAGUUAAAAGGUCCUGAAUUCCAGCAGAAUGGCUGAAGCCAACCAGUCUCAAGACCUCAACCAAGGAACCAACCAACUCUGCACAGGAAUGCGGUUUCUUCAUCUCCCUGUCCCAGGAAUUCCCCCUUGCUUCUUGACCAAUCAGCAAUCCCCACAUUUUAGCCCUACCUGUUCAGACCCUUUACAAGCUCCAUCCCCAAACCCUGGAGGGAGGAGGAUUUGAAGGUUCCUCUGUCUCAUUUGACUGCCCUACAAUUAUUAAACUCUUUCUCUACUGCAACU
This 488-nucleotide long non-coding RNA is filed under the name Homo sapiens (human). RNAcentral's name for it is "non-protein coding lnc-EVX1-14:12". The record is from RNAcentral. Lineage: Eukaryota; Metazoa; Chordata; Mammalia; Primates; Hominidae.